GACGAACGCUGGCGGCGUGCUUAACACAUGCAAGUCGAACGGAAAGGCCCUGCUUUUGUGGGGUGCUCGAGUGGCGAACGGGUGAGUAACACGGGAGUAACCUGCCCUUGACUUUGGGAUAACUUCAGGAAACUGGGGCUAAUACCGGAUAGGAGCUCCUGCUGCAUGGUGGGGGUUGGAAAGUUUCGGCGGUUGGGGAUGGACUCGCGGCUUAUCAGCUUGUUGGUGGGGUAGUGGCUUACCAAGGCUUUGACGGGUAGCCGGCCUGAGAGGGUGACCGGCCACAUUGGGACUGAGAUACGGCCCAGACUCCUACGGGAGGCAGCAGUGGGGAAUAUUGCACACUGGGCGGCAGCCUGAUGCAGCAACGCCGCGUGCGGGAUGACGGCCUUCGGGUUGUAAACCGCUUUCGCCUGUGACGAAGCGUGAGUGACGGUAAUGGGUAAAGAAGCACCGGCUAACUACGUG
This 468-nucleotide ribosomal RNA is filed under the name uncultured bacterium. RNAcentral's name for it is "partial 16S ribosomal RNA". It matches the Rfam family "Bacterial small subunit ribosomal RNA", at positions 28 to 507 of the family's 1533-position model. The record is from RNAcentral.